RNAcentral lists this microRNA (23 nucleotides) under Dasypus novemcinctus (nine-banded armadillo). RNAcentral's name for it is "dno-miR-10b-3p". Its record names the gene dno-miR-10b-3p. Lineage: Eukaryota; Metazoa; Chordata; Mammalia; Cingulata; Dasypodidae. RNAcentral also lists the same sequence under 2 other names. The record is from miRBase by way of RNAcentral.
ACAGAUUCGAUUCUAGGGGAAUA